Molecule: long non-coding RNA, 6321 nt
Organism: Oreochromis aureus
Lineage: Eukaryota; Metazoa; Chordata; Actinopteri; Cichliformes; Cichlidae
Source: Ensembl
AUUAAAUACAACAAGAGGUUUUUUUUAACAGAACUUUAUUGAACAAGACAUUUUUCAGCAGUAACACCAUAACAGAAUAUCUCAUAUCAUAGCAGCACAAACGCUAAUUUCACCUGCACAAAUCAGCACAAACGUAGCACUAAAAAAGUAGGCCAUUUUGGCCCGUUUUGGAGCAGUCUGGGGGGAUGGUGACCUUUGAAUGACCUAUAAAAUAAUGUUUAAUAUCUCAAAAACCGUAGCAGCACAAACGCUAAUUUUAACUGCACGAAUCUGCACAAACGUAGCACUAACCGCUCCGCCUUUACGUUUCAAGUGGGUGGGGGGUCAGCUUCACUCUGUUUUUAUAGGUGAUCCUCACUUGUGUGCACGUGCAUGUAGGUGAACGCUCACGGCAUGACGUCACACAGCUCAGUUCCUUUCUGCUUUGAUCUUGCAGCACGUGACCUCCACUCGAGUCCUCAAAUAGGGGUGAAACGUAUCACUAAACAAUUUUCAAAGCUAUCUUUAACUAAGACAGAGCAAAGAGACACAUAUUGAAAAAUAAUGACCAAUCAAACAGGUAGGAGUGGUCCGGGAAUCCCAAUAGACAAGGAAGAAAACAGAGAAAUAUACAGAGUUAGGUUGGAAAACUGUAUGGAAAACCAAGUUAGGCGAGUGGUAAAAAAAUCAGGCGAAGUCAUCAGUGAGGAAAAAGUCGAAGCCAUUUACAAGAGGCUUACCAAUAAAAUCUGGGCUGAAGUCGAGGAUCAAUUUGAUGAGAUUCUUAUAGUGGACUUCAACAAGCUCUACAACAUGAUUUUCAAAGCCCUGUGUGAAAAGUGGAAAAGUGCAGAAACAGUGCUGCUAAUAAUGAAAUUAAAUCUUCCACUUAUUGACAACACAAUUGUGGUAACCUUUAUAGAAGAGGCAGCCAAACUAAUGAUAAGAAAUCAAAGAAACGCAUAUUCAAAAACAACAGAAACCAACACAGGCAGGAGUGAUCCAGGAAUUCCAAUAGACAAGAAAGAAAGCAGCAGAAAUGACAGAUUUAGGUUGGAAAAGUGUAUGGCAGUCCUGGUUAAGCGAUUGGUUAGAAAAUCAGGUGGAGUCAUCAGUUUGGAAGAAGUUAAAGCCAUCUGCAAGAGGCUUACCAGCAAAAUCUGGGCUGAAAUGGAGGAUCAACUUCAUGUAAAUCUCUUAAUAGAGUCUGACAGGCUCCCAGAGAUGAUUUUCAACGGCCUUUGUAAAAAAUGGCAAAGUGCAGAAAUAGUGCUGCUAAUGAUGAAAUUAAAUCUCCCACUAAUUGACAACAUAAUUGUUGUAACUUUGAUAGAAGAGGCAGCCAAACUAACAAAGAGAGAGCAAAGAAGUGCAUAUUCAAAAACAAUAGCAGCAAACACAGGUAGGAGUGAUUCAGCUUUUAUUUCAGAGCCUAAAGAAAAUGUAAUGCCCGGAAAUGUGACAAAUACAGAAGAAAAAAGUCAUAAUCAUACUUGUAACGCUUGUAUUGACAGGAAAAACAUUUCAAUACAAAAUCAGAAAACAACAGAAACCGAAGAAACUGGAACUCCAAUAGAAGAGAAAAAACAGAGAGAGAAAAAGAGAUUAUAUUUGGAAAUGGGUAUGCAAUUCCUGGUUAGGCGAUUGGUUAGAAAAUCAGGUGAAGUCAUCAGUUUGCAAGAAGUUAAAGCCAUCUCCAUGAGGCUUACCAGCAAAAUCUGGGCUGAAAUGGAGGAUCAACUUCAUGUAAAUCUCUUAAUACAGUCUCACAGGCCCUUAAAGAUGAUUUGCAACGCCCUUUGUAAAAAGUGGCAAAGUGCAGAAACAGUGCUGCUAAUGAUGAAAUUAAAUCUCCCACUCAUCGACAACAUAAUUUUUGUAACUCUCAUAGAGGAAGCAGCCAAACUAUCCAAGAGACCAAGUCGCAUAAGUCGAUUUUUCUCAUUUGUAGGUCGACUUUUUUCCUCCUGUCUGUGCUGCAUGCAGAGUUCCAACACAGCUGACUGCGGUGUGGAACAACAAAUCAUUGUGUUUCAGAGCCUGAAAGAGGCUGAAAACAAGCCUGAAAACGAGAAAAGAAAUAGUAGUCAUGCGACUGUGUGUUCUUUCUGUAACUUUAAGAACUGUAACUGCUCUUUCAACGUUAAUGUCAAAUUGAGCAUCCCGAAACUAUUCAGUUUAGUGUAAUGCAGAGAAAGAGCUGCUGCUUUAAAGGCAGUACUGAUGACUAAAUUGUCAUCUUGAUUUUUUUUUCAAAUACCUCUUUUAAAAUCUUAAAGCAGUCUGGCCUCAGAGUUAACAUCAGAGGUAUAUUUUAUUUUAAAACUAUUUCAUUCGACUUUAAUUAGACUGAGAAAUAUUCUUCACCGUGUCUCUUCGUAUUAUCGUUACCAUCACCCCCCAACGGCCGAGGCAGACGGCCGUCCCUUCUGAGCCUGGUUCUGCCGGAGGUUUCUGCCUGUUACAGGUAGUUUUUCCUCCCCACUGUCGCCAAGUGCUUGCUCAUAAGGGAUUAUUCAUUAAUUGGGGUUUUCUUGCUGCUACUGUAGGGUCUCUAUCUUACAGUAUAAAGCAACUUGAGGAGACGGUUGUGAUUUGAUGCUAUAUUAAACAUCUUAAAUUCAACUGAAUCUUAAAAUGUAAUAUAGCAUCACAUCACCAUCAAAUCAAGAACUGAAAAAUAUAAAACAAAAUGAAAAUAAAAACCUAAAUUAAAAGCAGUUUGUGAUUUGUCUUGUGCUUUCAAAAUAUAUUGUCAAAUAUGAAAAGCUGCAUUUCUAUGCUCUGGUCAUUAGUACUGGUAUUUUAACCCUGGAGAACAAAUGGGGUCAGAUCCGACCCCAUUGGUUUUCUAGGGAACCCAUGGGGUCAAAUUUGACCCCAUGGGUUCUCCAGGGUUAAUGUAAGCAAACACAGGGAGCAUACACCGAUGUGGAAGUACUACAGAUGAAGAUGCAAAGAAACCAUGAAAUAAUUAAUGAAAUAGUGAAGUUUAUGAAUAAAAUAAACAACUGUAGCACCGUCUCAGUCUCGUCGAAUCGCCCCUCUGCCUCUUCUACUCUAGCAUCAACUCUUCUUAACCCUCGUCUAAUAUGCGCAUAUUGUUUGUUGUUGUCUUUCCUAAAGUCACGAAGCUCUUUCGGGAUGUUCAGGAGGCUGGGCUCGUCUGCAUCCGUGCCCUCUGUGGCUAACCUUAGCUCAGGAGAGUAGCUCCUAUCCACGUGGCUUUUCUCUGUCUCCUCUUCUGUCUGAGUUGUGCCUCUCAAACUUCUUGUGACUACCCCCGUUUCCAUAUUUAAAAGCAAUCUCACCUAUUAUCAGAAAGAUUACCGUAUCUUAUUGUAAGAGAAAUUUCUCCUACGUGUUUGGAGUCUCUACAGUAAGCAAAUGUGGUAAAGGGUGUGGCUGAUUCUGGGAUUGAUGCAGGAGGGCGACAGAAAUAAAAAGUAAAAUAUUAAAUUUUUGCUGUUAUUGACUUUGCUUUACAAUAUCAAACACUGAGCCAGAUGCACAAUAGUCAUGUACAUCACACGUAAACACAUUAAUGUAAAAAACACAGAGGUUAGGCCAUCAAAGUGUGUGUAAAAGAAGUGUUUAUGUCUGUCUUGCAGUUUCUGUUCCUGUCCGAGGUUUGCAGUGGAGAGCUCAGACCACACAGGACCCCGUCCUCUCCAAACCCUGCUCAGCUCUCUGGGGGCAGUGUCCAGCUCUCUCACCUGUCUGCAGACGGCGGAGGGAGUGGCAGCUCUGCUGAUGGAGAGAGGCGGUGUGCAGGAAGGAGAUCACGUCGCUCUGGUGUACCCGCCAGGUAUAGACCUGAUCGCAGCCCUUUACGGCUGCCUGUACGCCGGCUGCGUUCCCAUCACAGUGCGACCGCCUCACCCUCAGAACAUCUCCACCACCCUGCCCACUGUUAAGAUGAUUGUCGAGGUGAGUCACUCGGCGUGUGUGAUGAUGACCACCGCCGUCAUCUGUAAGCUGCUGCGCUCCAAAGAGGCCAUGGCCACGAUGGACAUCAGGAACUGGCCCCCAGUCCUGGACACCGUCCCCAGUGUUUCCUGCUCCUUGGAGCACUCCUGGUUGUCUGCUAUGGUGGAGGUGGCCAAUGUCUGGAGACAAAUCGCUGUUCUGGGGAGCUGCUUUCCUCCACUUACUUUACAUCAGAGUAGAAAGCAUGGAAACAACCCUGAUGGAAAACAGAAACAGCAUCCAGGAAGUGGAAUAAAGAUUAAGCAGCCAAAUUCUAGCUCUGGUUCGAUGCUUACAUUUGGAGGACUCUAGACCACAAACUGAGAGAAACUCUGUGAAGAUGCAGAAACACAUCAAGUUUUGCAAACAAGCAUACUAUUUUUAUAGUUAACUAAACUUCUAGUUUAUUAGAGUUGAGUUCCUACUCGCAGACAACUGAAACAUUCACAUUUGGAAAGCUGACUGAAUAAAUUUUCGUUUGAUUAAUCUAAAGUUGUUCUUCUGUGUCUGAAAACACCCACUCCCACUUACUCAACCUGUGUUGUCGUCUGCUGCUGUGGCCUACAGUAGCAGAAGACAACACUGCAACUGUAACCAAACUGAUUACAGCAUUAUUUAAAAACCUUUAGUGAACUCAACGUUCAAGAUUUUUCAAGGAUCCACAGAAACUUUGAUUGUGUGCUAAAAAUGCUAGUAAAGCUGACAUCCAUCACGAACAACCCACAUCCUCCUCUGCAUGAGUCUGUGAGUGUGCUGAGCAGUUCCUCAUCAGAGACCAAAACAUCCUCACUGCAGGAAGGAGCGCUUUCACAGAUCAUUGAUCCCAACAGCAGUUAGACUAUAACUCCUCAAUCACGUUGUCAUGAGUCACUGGACAUUUACCUGGUGUGCACGUAUAUGUGUAUGUAUAUGUAUACAUGUGUAUAUUCAGUGUGUGUAUGUGUGUGUGUGUGUGUGUGUGUGUGCGCGUGUACAUGUCUAUACUUCUAGAUACUUUUAGAUAUCUAUUGCUUAAAUAGUAAUGAUACAAUAGUUAAAUUUAUUUCUUGCAUUUCCACAACACUCUAUCCAUAGUCACAUACUGUGUAUGCUACUGUUGUAUAUAGUGUACUAUCUUAUUUAUUUUGUGGUUGUUUAUAUUUUAGUCCUAUUUUCGUAUUUUCUGUAACCAUGGUUACGGGAGUUUGUUGCAAGAAGUGUUGUGAAUCUCGCUGAGACAGGGAACCACUGAGGAGCCUCAGAUUAACCAAUCAGUCAGAUCGCUGUCUCCACUUGGGUGGCUGUAGCUCAGGUGGUCAGCCACUACUCAGAAGGUUGGUGGUUCGAUCCCAGGCUGCCUCCUGGCUGCAUGCCAAAUAACCUUGGGCAAGAUACUAACCCAGGGGUCUGCAACCUUUUACACCCAAAGAGCCAUUUGACCCGGUUUCCACGCAAAAGAAAACACUGGGAGCCGCAAAUACUUUUUGACAUCUAAAAUGAAGAUAACACUGUAUAUAUUGUUUUUUACCUUUAUGCUUUGUGUGAACAACUCAGGUGUGUUGCUUAUGAAAAAUGAAGUGCUACAGAGAAAAUGUAAUUAUAUUUAUGUAAUCAACACAUUUUGAACUCUUAAAGAAAUAUAACAAAAGGAAAGACACCAACCUGAACUAAAAUGAUCCAGCAAACAAAAACUGUUGUCAGCCGCCACCCUUAUAUCGCCUUUGGGCUUUUGGAGCCUUGACCUGACUCUUAAAAAAUAAUUAGAAAAAAGCUCUAUGCUGCUAAAAGAUGAAAAAUAGAUUCUGCCUAAAUAUGUAUUUUACCUGGUUAAUGUGUGUGGCGGGGUGUGGUUUGCAGCGCCGCUGCAGGGGAGUCGAACGCACCUGAGCAGCACCCGCAAUCCUGCCUUUCCGCCUUAAAGUCUGUGCUCUCUCUGCUGUUGUGUUGUCGGGCUGUGAGCUGAAAAGCUACAGCCGGCUGUAUGUGUAGCCGCUAAACUGGUGACCUAAAUCUUCGCCACCACGUCUAUAUACAUACAAGCAUAAGGGGAGAGAGUGAAUCAGCGCUGGGAGUACGGACACUGGGCCGGCUUUAAACACACCAUUUAUUUUUUUAGAAGAACAGCCAGAAUCACAAGUAGGAGUUAAAAUCCCCACUAUACAAUAAAAAAAUAAAUGUUCCCAACCCACUAAAAAGCCCUGCCGGCAGAGAUUAAAAUACAAUUAAAAAAAUCAAAGCUAAAUGAAUGUCCUUUUUAUACGAUAAAACUUCCCCCCCAGAGUCCUCUAUUCCCAGUGUCCAACCACACACACUCGGGCAAAUGUUCCUUAGCUGAAAGACGCAGAAGGGGAGCUCCUCUUCCGGGAUGGGGAAAUCUCGCCAGCAGAAGGCCAG